GUGGGGAAUAUUGCACAAUGGGGGAAACCCUGAUGCAGCGACGCCGCGUGAGUGAGGAAGUAUUUCGGUAUGUAAAGCUCUAUCAGCAGGGAAGAAAAUGACGGUACCUGACUAAGAAGCCCCGGCUAACUACGUGCCAGCAGCCGCGGUAAUACGUAGGGGGCAAGCGUUAUCCGGAUUUACUGGGUGUAAAGGGAGCGUAGACGGCUAAUCAAGUCAGAAGUGAAAACCCAGGGCUCAACUUUGGGACUGCUUUUGAAACUGAGUAGCUAGAGUGCAGGAGAGGUAAGCGGAAUUCCUAGUGUAGCGGUGAAAUGCGUAGAUAUUAGGAGGAACACCAGUGGCGAAGGCGGCUUACUGGACUGUAACUGACGUUGAGGCUCGAAAGCGUGGGGAGCAAACAGG
Molecule: ribosomal RNA, 405 nt
Filed under: uncultured bacterium
Lineage: Bacteria
Description: bacterial SSU rRNA
Rfam family: Bacterial small subunit ribosomal RNA
Source: RNAcentral